AUUGAACGCUGGCGGCAGGCCUAACACAUGCAAGUCGAGCGGAUGAAGGGUUCUUUCUCCUGGAUUCAGCUUCGGACGGGUGUGUAAUGCCUAUGAAUCUGCCUGUUUUUUUUGUAUAACGUCCUUAAACGGGCGCUAAUACCGCAUACGUCCUGUUCUUGAAAGUUGGUGAUCUUCGGACCUCUCGCUAUCUGAUUAGCCUAGGUCGUAUUAGCUAGUUGGUUUGGGAAAGUCCUACCUAGGCGACGAUCCGUAACUGGUCUGAGAGGAUGAUCAGUCACACUGGAAGAGAGACACGGAACAGAAACCUACGGGAGGAAGCAGUGGGGAAUAUUGGACAAUGGGCGAAAGCAUGAUACAGCAAAGCCGCGUGUGAGAAGAAGGACUUAGGAUUGGAAAGAACGGUAAGUUGGGAGGAAGGGAAGUAAGUUAAUAAGUAGCUGUAUUGACGUUAACAAGAGAAUAAGCACCGGCUAACUACGUG
Molecule: ribosomal RNA, 484 nt
Filed under: uncultured bacterium
Lineage: Bacteria
Description: partial 16S ribosomal RNA
Rfam family: Bacterial small subunit ribosomal RNA
Source: RNAcentral